CCCUGGGUCUAUGCCCACAAAGCCUUGAACACCGUGGGCUUCACCAACAGAACCUCAGGGUGCCUCAGCCACAGCUUGCAGAAUUUCAUGUUGGAAUGGUUCUUCCCAAAGUCAUUAGUGUACUACACAUCCUAUGGACGUUUCAUCCAUCGGGCUAUGCUGAAGUCCCUUUUCAAAUAAUGUAUUUUCACCUUCCUGAUGGUUCUUGUGGAAAGGAGCCGGACCAGGACCACGACCAGGACCGUGCAGAGCCAUUGGUUGCUAUGUUCCAAACGCUAUCCUUGUAGUAUUAAAAUGAUGGUUGCAUCACAAUUUAAUAAAUCCCUCAUUAUGCA
This is a non-coding RNA of Anolis sagrei ordinatus, 335 nucleotides long. The record is from RefSeq and is a predicted model, not a curated record. Lineage: Eukaryota; Metazoa; Chordata; Lepidosauria; Squamata; Anolidae.